AGCAGCCGCGGUAAUUCCAGCUCCAAUAGCGUAUAUUAAAGUUGUUGCAGUUAAAAAGCUCGUAGUUGAACUUCGGGGUUUACCCAUUGGUCAGGCUUAAUUGUCUGUACUGGUAAGAUAAAUCUCUACCUUCUGAGGAACUUUCAUGUCAUUAAUUUGGUGUGAUUGGAAAUCAGGACUGUUACUUUGAAAAAUUAGAGUGUUUAAAGCAGGCUAACGUCUGAAUACAUUAGCAUGGAAUAAUGAAAUAGGACGGACUGAUUCUAUUUCGUUGGUUUCUAGGAUCACCGUAAUGAUUAAUAGGGAUAGUUGGGGGCAUUAGUAUUCAAUUGUCAGAGGUGAAAUUCUUGGAUUUAUUGAAGACUAACUACUGCGAAAGCAUUUGCCAAGGAUGUUUUCAUUAAUCAAGAACGAAAGUUAGGGGAUCGAAGACGAUCAGAUACCGUCGUA
This 450-nucleotide ribosomal RNA is filed under the name uncultured Glomeromycotina. RNAcentral's name for it is "SSU rRNA". It matches the Rfam family "Eukaryotic small subunit ribosomal RNA", at positions 569 to 1022 of the family's 1831-position model. Lineage: Eukaryota; Fungi; Glomeromycota. The record is from RNAcentral.